This 253-nucleotide ribosomal RNA is filed under the name uncultured bacterium. Its description in RNAcentral is "partial 16S ribosomal RNA". It matches the Rfam family "Bacterial small subunit ribosomal RNA", at positions 524 to 776 of the family's 1533-position model. The record is from RNAcentral.
GACAGAGGCCCCAAGCGUUAGGCGGAAUCACUGGGCCUAAAGCGUGUGUAGGCGGACUUCUAAGUGCCUUGUGAAAUCCCACGGCUCAACCGUGGAACUGCUGGGCAUACUGGGAGUCUUGGGCCAUUCAGGGGCAACUGGAACAAGCGGUGGAGCGGUGAAAUGCGUAGAUAUCGCUUGGAACGCCGAAGGUGAAAACAGGUUGCUGGGGAUGUGCCGACGCUGAGACACGAAAGCCAGGGGAGCAAACGGG